CAUGAUGCUUUUGCCAUCCCUGAGAUUAAGAGUUAUGUCCUGGUCAUUUCGUAAGGACUCUGCCCCAGAAAGUCAGUUUUGCAUGAUCCAGAGCUGCAGUCUGAGCGCCGUUGCACUCCCUCCUUCUGCUACCGCUGCCCUUGUCUGCUGUCACCACUCCCUGACACUUGUCAGUUGAGAAUAGAAAAAAAAUCAGAU
Molecule: long non-coding RNA, 198 nt
Organism: Pipistrellus kuhlii (Kuhl's pipistrelle)
Lineage: Eukaryota; Metazoa; Chordata; Mammalia; Chiroptera; Vespertilionidae
Exons: 3
Source: RefSeq, a predicted model, not a curated record